This 216-nucleotide ribosomal RNA is filed under the name uncultured bacterium. RNAcentral's name for it is "partial 16S ribosomal RNA". It matches the Rfam family "Bacterial small subunit ribosomal RNA", at positions 1284 to 1500 of the family's 1533-position model. The record is from RNAcentral.
GAUCUCAGUUCGGACUGUAGGCUGCAACUCGCCUACACGAAGUUGGAAUGCUAGUAAUCGUGGAUCAGCAUGCCACGGUGAAUACGUUCCCGGGUCUUGUACACACCGCCCGUCACACCAUGGGAGCUGGUAACACCCGAAGUCAGUAGUCUAACCGCAAGGAGGACGCUGCCGAAGGUGGGAUUAGCGACUGGGGUGAAGUCGUAACAAGGUAUC